Molecule: ribosomal RNA, 421 nt
Filed under: uncultured Alphaproteobacteria bacterium
Lineage: Bacteria; Pseudomonadati; Pseudomonadota; Alphaproteobacteria
Description: bacterial SSU rRNA
Rfam family: Bacterial small subunit ribosomal RNA
Source: RNAcentral
GAGUUUGAUCCUGGCUCAGGAUAAACGCUGGCGGCGUGCCUAAAACAUGCAAGUCGAACGGGCACCCUUACGGGGUGUCAGUGGCGGACGGCUGAGUAACACGUGGGUGACCUGCCCUCGCGCGGGGGAUAACUGCCCGAAAGGGUGGCUAAUACCGCAGACCUCAUGCGUUCGGUCGCAUGAGUGAACCUUCGGGGUGUGAGGAGGGGCCCGCGGCCGAUUAGCUGGCUGGUGGGGUAACGGCCUACCAGGGCUGCGAUCGGUAGCUGGUCUGAGAGGAUGAUCAGCCAGACUGGGACUGCGAACGGCCCAGACUCCUACGGGAGGCAGCAGUUAGGAAUUUUGGGCAAUGGGCGGAAGCCUGACCCAGCAACGCCGCGUGGGUGAUGAAGGCCCUCGGGUCGUAAAGCCCUUUUUCCCA